Molecule: long non-coding RNA, 575 nt
Organism: Ictalurus furcatus (blue catfish)
Lineage: Eukaryota; Metazoa; Chordata; Actinopteri; Siluriformes; Ictaluridae
Exons: 2
Source: RefSeq, a predicted model, not a curated record
GGCAACAGCCUAGGUUAUAUAUAUAGUGUAGUAUAAACGAAGGAGUCAAUGGUGUAUUGUUUUUAAAAUCAAUAUUCCAAUAGCUACAUCAUAUACAGUAUCUCACAAAAGUGAGUACACCCCUCACAUUUUUGUAAAUAUUUGAUUAUAUCUUUUCAUGUGACAACACUGAAGAAAUGACACUUUGCUACAAUGUAAAGUGUUUGUUAGCAGCAGCUCAGUGACGAUAUCAGGAGCAGGACGCCAUUUUGUUAACUGCGGCAGAUAAAGGAGUGUGACUCACACAGUGUCUCAAUAUGAAGCGUGUGAGGGUGUGCAGGUGGGAGCUGUCUAACUGGAACAUCUCCCCCACUACAAUAACACAUCAAACACAAGCGUGCAAUAAUACCCACAUCACAUCACCCAAUAACAAUCAGACCAUUUAAAUAUGACCUGAUCAUCAUCAUCAUCAUCAUGAUCACGAUAAGAGUGUGUGUGUCUAUAAGAAGACCUUCAGUGGGCUGCUUCGUGUUUUCCAUGUCGCUUGUAUACAUAUUUUCCACACUGUAAUAAAUUACGAUGUAUGUUUACGGUAA